RNAcentral lists this microRNA precursor (119 nucleotides) under Solanum corneliomulleri. RNAcentral's name for it is "Solanum corneliomuelleri pre-miR482f". Lineage: Eukaryota; Viridiplantae; Streptophyta; Magnoliopsida; Solanales; Solanaceae. The record is from RNAcentral.
GGAGGUUGUUGGUUGUGGGUGGGGUGGAAAGAUUUGAUAAAUCUAUUUUUUUUUCUAGUUGAAAAAAAAAAUGGAAAAGAGACUAAAUCUUUCCUACUCCUCCCAUACCCAUGACUUCC